CACGGGGGGCCUACGGGAGGCAGCAGUCGAGAAUUUUUCACAAUGGGCGCAAGCCUGAUGGAGCGACGCCGCGUGGGGGAUGAAGGGCUUCGGCCCGUAAACCCCUGUCAUUUGCGAACAGACCUUGCCUGAUAACACCAGGCGAGCUGAUUGUAGCGAAAGAGGAAGGGACGGCUAACUCUGUGCCAGCAGCCGCGGUAAUA
RNAcentral lists this ribosomal RNA (203 nucleotides) under uncultured bacterium. RNAcentral's name for it is "partial 16S ribosomal RNA". It matches the Rfam family "Bacterial small subunit ribosomal RNA", at positions 329 to 525 of the family's 1533-position model. The record is from RNAcentral.